This 209-nucleotide long non-coding RNA is filed under the name Capsicum annuum. RNAcentral's name for it is "long non-coding RNA (CANN_LNC014090)". Lineage: Eukaryota; Viridiplantae; Streptophyta; Magnoliopsida; Solanales; Solanaceae. The record is from RNAcentral.
AUGAGAUGAUUCGUAUCUUGAUCAGUUUUGGUCUUUAUGAGAUCUUUUUCUUCUCAUUUCAUUAAAACAUUGUUGUAGACCUAUUUUACCUAUAAUAUACACCAAAGCUCAUCAUAUCUAAUAAAACACUCUAAGUUCAAGUAGAAAUUUGUAGUUUUAAGCAUCAAAGUGUCGUGUUUCCACGCCACAUAAACACCUCCAACUUACAC